GCGAAGGUGGCGGAAUUGGUAGACGCGCUAGCUUCAGGUGUUAGUGUCCUUACGGACGUGGGGGUUCAAGUCCCCCCCCUCGCACCAA
Molecule: transfer RNA, 88 nt
Filed under: Escherichia coli
Lineage: Bacteria; Pseudomonadati; Pseudomonadota; Gammaproteobacteria; Enterobacterales; Enterobacteriaceae
Also listed under: 1 other name
Description: tRNA-Leu
Rfam family: tRNA
About the family: Transfer RNA (tRNA) molecules are approximately 80 nucleotides in length.
Source: RNAcentral